GGUACCUAAAGAAUAAGCACCGGCUAACUACGUGCCAGCAGCCGCGGUAAUACGUAGGGUGCGAGCGUUAAUCGGAAUUACUGGGCGUAAAGCGAGCGCAGACGGUUAGUUAAGCAAGAUGUGAAAUCCCCGAGCUCAACUUGGGAACUGCGUUUUGAACUGGCUAGCUAGAGUGUGUCAGAGGGGGGUAGAAUUCCACGUGUAGCAGUGAAAUGCGUAGAGAUGUGGAGGAAUACCGAUGGCGAAGGCAGCCCCCUGGGAUAACACUGACGUUCAUGCUCGAAAGCGUGGGUAGCAAACAGGAUUAGAUACCCUGGUAGUCCACGCCCUAAACGAUGUCAAUUAGCUGUUGGGCAACUUGAUUGCUUAGUAGCGUAGCUAACGCGUGAAAUUGACCGCCUGGGGAGUACGGUCGCAAGAUUAAAACUCAAAGGAAUUGACGGGGACCCGCACAAGCGGUGGAUGAUGUGGAUUAAUUCGAUGCAACGCGAAGAACCUUACCUGGUCUUGACAUGUACGGAAUCUUUCAGAGAUGGAAGAGUGCCUUCGGGAGCCGUAACACAGGUGCUGCAUGGCUGUCGUCAGCUCGUGUCGUGAGAUGUUGGGUUAAGUCCCGCAACGAGCGCAACCCUUGUCAUUAGUUGCCAUCAUUUAGUUGGGCACUCUAAUGAGACUGCCGGUGACAAACCGGAGGAAGGUGGGGAUGACGUCAAGUCCUCAUGGCCCUUAUGACCAGGGCUUCACACGUCAUACAAUGGUCGGUACAGAGGGUAGCCAAGCCGCGAGGUGGAGCUAAUCCCAGAAAACCGAUCGUAGUCCGGAUUGCACUCUGCAACUCGAGUGCAUGAAGUCGGAAUCGCUAGUAAUCGCAGGUCAGCAUACUGCGGUGAAUACGUUCCCGGGUCUUGUACACACCGCCCGUCACACCAUGGGAGUGGGGGAUACCAGAAGUAGAUAGGGUAACCGCAAGGAGCCCGUUUACCACGGUAUGUUUCAUGACUGGGGUGAAGUCGUAACAAGGUAGCCGUAGGGGAACCUGCGGCUGGAUCACCUCCUUU
RNAcentral lists this ribosomal RNA (1058 nucleotides) under Kingella kingae. Its description in RNAcentral is "bacterial SSU rRNA". It matches the Rfam family "Bacterial small subunit ribosomal RNA", at positions 474 to 1533 of the family's 1533-position model. Lineage: Bacteria; Pseudomonadati; Pseudomonadota; Betaproteobacteria; Neisseriales; Neisseriaceae. The record is from RNAcentral.